GUGUUUAAUGGGUAAACCAGGUUAGUUAACACCAGUGUGUGUUUAAUGGGUAAACCAGGUUAGUUAACACCAGUGUGUGUUUAAUGGGUAAACCAGGUUAGUUAACACCAGUGUGUGUUUAAUGGGUAAACCAGGUUAGUUAACACCAGUGUGUGUUUAAUGGGUAAACCAGGUUAGUUAACACCAGUGUGUGUUUAAUGGGUAAACCAGGUUAGUUAACACCAGUGUGUGUUUAAUGGGUAAACCAGGUUAGUUAACACCAGUGUGUGUUUAAUGGGUAAACCAGGUUAGUUAACACCAGUGUGUGUUUAAUGGGUAAACCAGGUUAGUUAACACCAGUGUGUGUUUAAUGGGUAAACCAGGUUAGUUAACACCAGUGUGUGUUUAAUGGGUAAACCAGGUUAGUUAACACCAGUGUGUGUUUAAUGGGUAAACCAGGUUAGUUAACACCAGUGUGUGUUUAAUGGGUAAACCAGGUUAGUUAACACCAGUGUGUGUUUAAUGGGUAAACCAGGUUAGUUAACACCAGUGUGUGUUUAAUGGGUAAACCAGGUUAGUUAACA
Oncorhynchus keta (chum salmon) is the source of this 563-nucleotide long non-coding RNA. RefSeq lists it as uncharacterized. NCBI's taxonomy places the organism in Eukaryota, Metazoa, Chordata, Actinopteri, Salmoniformes, Salmonidae. The record is from RefSeq and is a predicted model, not a curated record. The transcript is spliced from 3 exons.